RNAcentral lists this ribosomal RNA (253 nucleotides) under uncultured bacterium. RNAcentral describes it as "partial 16S ribosomal RNA". It matches the Rfam family "Bacterial small subunit ribosomal RNA", at positions 524 to 776 of the family's 1533-position model. The record is from RNAcentral.
UACAGAGGUCCCAAGCGUUGUUCGGAUUCAUUGGGCGUAAAGGGUGCGUAGGUGGCGUGGUAAGUCGGGUGUGAAAUUUCGGAGCUUAACUCCGAAACUGCAUUCGAUACUGCCGUGCUUGAGGACUGGAGAGGAGACUGGAAUUUACGGUGUAGCAGUGAAAUGCGUAGAGAUCGUAAGGAAGACCAGUGGCGAAGGCGGGUCUCUGGACAGUUCCUGACACUGAGGCACGAAGGCCAGGGGAGCAAACGGG